AUUGAACGCUGGCGGCAGGCCUAACACAUGCAAGUCGAGCGGAUGAAGGGAGCUUGCUCCUGGAUUCAGCGGCGGACGGGUGAGUAAUGCCUAGGAAUCUGCCUGGUAGUGGGGGAUAACGUCCGGAAACGGGCGCUAAUACCGCAUACGUCCUGAGGGAGAAAGUGGGGGAUCUUCGGACCUCACGCUAUCAGAUGAGCCUAGGUCGGAUUAGCUAGUUGGUGGGGUAAAGGCCUACCAAGGCGACGAUCCGUAACUGGUCUGAGAGGAUGAUCAGUCACACUGGAACUGAGACACGGUCCAGACUCCUACGGGAGGCAGAAGUGGGGAAUAUUGGACAAUGAGCGAAAGCCUGAUCCAGCCAUGCCGCGUGUGUGAAGAAGGUCCUCGGAUUGUAAAGCACUUUAAGUUGGGAGGAAGGGCAGUAAGUUAAUACCUUGCUGUUUUGACGUUACCAACAGAAUAAGCACCGGCUAACUUCAUG
RNAcentral lists this ribosomal RNA (484 nucleotides) under uncultured bacterium. Its description in RNAcentral is "partial 16S ribosomal RNA". It matches the Rfam family "Bacterial small subunit ribosomal RNA", at positions 30 to 507 of the family's 1533-position model. The record is from RNAcentral.